Molecule: long non-coding RNA, 660 nt
Organism: Magallana angulata
Lineage: Eukaryota; Metazoa; Mollusca; Bivalvia; Ostreida; Ostreidae
Exons: 4
Source: RefSeq, a predicted model, not a curated record
GAUCUUUAAAUACUUUGCAAAGUGCAUUCAAAUUAAAGAAAAAUACGGGUCUGUUAAAUACUUCCUAGAUACAGCAGUGCAAGAGGUUUGUUGUAACUCUGUUGUUUAUUAAUGAGUUUUAAAUUAAAACACAAGAGGAAAUAUGGGUUCCAUAAGUUAUCCCUGGACGUCCUGUAAAAACUUGUCGACACUUAUUGUAUCAUGCGCACUGUUAAUUCGGGUUUUGUCGAUUGGUUACGUCAUUGGUGGUAUUGUAAUACUGUCCACAGAUCCUCUACUACCGUGCUUCACAACACUAAACAACUGCAAGCUGGGAAUUUUUCAAUUGGGAUCUUUUUUCGGUUGGCUUAUACUCGCUCUGACACCUGCAGUAAUAGUCAAUGUGACGAAUUCAUCGAUUAUAUACCUCGGCAUUUGCAAGAGACGAAAUCACUACUUACAGAUAAGUACAGUGAUAAGCAUCUUGAAUCUGUUUUGGUUUAUAAUUUUGAUUGGGCUUUGGUCGUGGCAAAUUAAUGAGGUAGGUUAUUAAUCUUUAUAUUAUGUAUUCAAAAUACAAAUAAUUAUUUUUAUGGUCGUUCUUACAAGUUAACAUUAAAUAUACUAUUAACCAAAAUUGAUGGCUGCAAACCAAAAACAAAGUAAAAGUAAAAAAAAAUU